This is a non-coding RNA of Oncorhynchus mykiss (rainbow trout), 2551 nucleotides long. The record is from RefSeq and is a predicted model, not a curated record. NCBI's taxonomy places the organism in Eukaryota, Metazoa, Chordata, Actinopteri, Salmoniformes, Salmonidae.
AUUACAUUUGAGAGAAAUAAGCUUUUGAUGCGUACGGAACCUUUCUGAGAUCAUUUAUUUCAGUCAUGAAACAUGGGACCAACACUUUACAUGUUGCGUUUAUAUUUUUGUUCAAUAUAUGUAGGUCGUGAAUGGCCUCACAGUCCAGUAGGUGGCGGUGUAUGCAUCUUAAAUUGGGUGCGAUCCGCCAACACAAUCCCAAAGAAGAAGUAUUUUUUGUCAUUGAGGCGGCAUGCUAGCAAAGUAGAGCUCAUUUUAAACUUUUGUUAAAACCCUACAUGCGUUUAUGUUUUGAGGAAAGGAGAUGAUUCGCUUGGAUGGAAAUGACCGAAACACAUUGAUGAACAUGUGGUUCAGCAUAUCUCAACGAGUCGGUUGUCCUUGGAAGUCAAGAGAUGCAUGCUGACAAUAGUACACACAUUUCUGUGGAGCCAAGAUCACAGAUCCCUCUCACCUCUGCUGUAAUUGGCCUACUGGUGGUUCAGGAUAUUUUAACAAGUCAAUGUCCUUGAAGUCACGUGAUGGGAGCCAUUGAGACCAGAUGCAUGAAGGGCCAAAGCAUAGAAAUAGAAUGACAGAUUCUAUUUCCGUGUCGCCAACAUCCAUGGAUCCCUCUCACCCCUGUUGUAAUUGGCCUACCUGUGGUUCAGGAUAUUUUAACAAGUCAUUGUCCUUGAAGUCACAUGAUGGGAGCCAUUGAUACCAGAUGCAUGAUGCCAAUGAAGUGGCAAAGCAUAGAAAUAGGAUGACGUAGAUUCUAUUUCUGUGGCUCCAAGAUCCAUGGAUCCCUCUCACCUCUGCUGUAAUUGGCCUACCUGUGGGUCGGCAUCUCAUCGUGCCCGAUGUCCUUGAUGAACUCGCAUGAUGGGUCGUCUGUUGAGACCAGAUGCAUGAUGACAAUGAAGGGGCAAAGCAUAGAAAUAUAUUAUCACAUUCGAUUUCUGUUAGAAAUGGGUUCCUCUCACCGCUGCUGUAAUUAGCCUACUGGUGGUUCAGGAUAUUUUAACAAGUCAAUGUCCUUGAAGUCACGUGAUGGGAGCCAUUGAGACCAGAUGCAUGAAGGGCCAAAGCAUAGAAAUAGAAUGACAGAUUCUAUUUCCGUGUCGCCAACAUCCAUGGAUCCCUCUCACCCCUGUUGUAAUUGGCCUACCUGGCUUAACCAAGACAAACACGGAUGACCCUGGGCCAAUCGUGCUCCUCCAUAUGGGACUCUCAAUCACGGCCGGAUGUGAUACAGCCUGGAUUCGAACCAAGGACUGUAGUGACGCUUCUUGCAUUGAGUGCCUUAGACCGCUGUGUGUGUGUAACUAUUUAACUGUACUAGAAUGCUUAAAAGCCCCCUAAAAUGUUUAUCUGUAUUUAUUAAUUAUAAACAAUGGCAAGGAAAAUAUUGGAUAUCUACAAAUUGUUAUCGGUGCAUCACUAAUGAGAGCUACUAAAACAAUUAUUUAUUUUUUAUAGUGUUCAAAUUGGCACAUUGUUCUCCUCUGCAACUCUUCCACGGGAUUUGUUUGUUGAUAACUGGUCAAAUAAUGGCUCAUGAAGAAGGCCCCAUUAAAAUGUGUUCUGUACUUUUAUUUUUUUUAAAUGUUACACUCAAUAGGCUUAUUACAAAUGUGCAUUGAGAAGUUAUCUGAGUCCAUGUCAAUGUUUAAAUCAGAUAAAUUGAGGUCUGGUGGAAACUAACACAUUGGAGUUUAAUUCUCCUUUUAAUUAUGCAUUAAGCAAGAAAGGAAUGUCAGUAGCUAUGUUUCUGCUGUUAGGCCUGCUGCAGCACAGUUUGCAAAACAAUGGCAACCCAAUUGAUACUACAAAUCAUAUCUCUUUGUCAGGUAAGCCUACUAUGCAGUUACCAUUUUAAUUGGUUUUGGGGGGGGAAGUCUGCCUACCCGCAAGACGGCUAUCAUUAGCGCGGGUCUACCCGCAAGACGGCUAUCAUUAGCAUCCCUAACUGGAUAUAUACGGAGUGCUAGACAAAUGUGCACACCAAACAGACAGACUGGGGAAAUAUUGCUGGAAAUGAAUUGGCAGAUAUUGUUACGUUUGUGUUUUUAAGCCGAUGGUUGCUACCCAGGGGUGGGAUAAUGUCAAUGUGGUGUUGAUGGGAUAGCAGCCAGGAGCUUUGUUUAUGACCGUUUGCGAUAGAAUUCAAAAAAAUAAAAGCAGUGAAGGAGCAGAAUCAAACUAACCGUUGAUGUUUUGACUGAUGUAUAUUCAUAGAACUAGAUUAAAUGUUAUGUAUAGUGGUAUAUUGUCAUCGCGAUAACCAUUUGUCAAAGAUUCAGUGAUGUAUGUUAUUAUCCACUUCCUGUAGCAAGCAACAAUGUAGCAAGCAACAAACGCUACAACCGUGAAAAAUGUGUUCAUGACAGAAUGACCUUGCAGGGGGCUCUGUAACAACUUGACUCUCAGCCAAGACCAUAUCACAUUUGUGUGACUGUAUUUCUGGAACAUGCUGUUCUCUUGGUGUAAACUAAUGUGGCAUGAUGUCAGAACUGUAGUUUUGCUGUACAAUUGUUCAUGACUCAUCAAUAAAACUAGUAAACAAAUU